Molecule: long non-coding RNA, 667 nt
Organism: Quercus robur (English oak)
Lineage: Eukaryota; Viridiplantae; Streptophyta; Magnoliopsida; Fagales; Fagaceae
Exons: 2
Source: RefSeq, a predicted model, not a curated record
UAUUACGCUAAACAGACAGACUUCAUUUUGCUUUUCAAAAUUUCAAAUUCUCGAAUCUCCAACGUCUCCUUUUCCCUCCGCCACCGUCUCCGUCGUCCGCCCCGUCGUCCGCCCUGCCCUCUACUGGGAAAUACUAUCUAGUUGAUUCUAGAUACCCUAUGAUAAAAUGCUAUUUGCAGCCAUACAAGGGAGCUAACACACCAUCUUGCAGAUAUUUGACGAAGAAGCAGAGGACUAGAGGAUCAAGAGGCAUACAAGAAAAUUUUAUCAAACUACACGAUAAGGGUUCAAGCGAUAGCUUAGUCAUAUUGGCAUCUUUUGUGGUGCCCCACGUUUGUGGUUUGAAUCUCCUCUCUCACUACUCUACUUAGAGCUUUGCUCUUUGCCAUUGUGGCCCCCGUCUCUUCCUCUCAGGACGUCUGGCUUGGAAAGUUUGUUGAUGUUAUUAAGAUUGUAAUGUAGUUUGACUAGAUUUUUUAUUGUAAUUUUCUCUAAGGCACUAUGUUCUCCCUAGUAUAUACUCUCUUUUGUAAAUAUUUUAUUAUCAAUAUAUCUACCGAUAUGUUACAAGAAAAAGGUAGUGAUGAGCAAAAAAGAUGAGAUCUUUCUCUAGAUGAUUGUUUUUCGUGAAAACAUUUCUGAAUUCAUUUUUGGGUUGUAAUUUUUA